RNAcentral lists this ribosomal RNA (492 nucleotides) under uncultured bacterium. Its description in RNAcentral is "partial 16S ribosomal RNA". It matches the Rfam family "Bacterial small subunit ribosomal RNA", at positions 29 to 507 of the family's 1533-position model. The record is from RNAcentral.
AGUGAACGCUGGCGGUAGGCCUAACACAUGCAAGUCGAACGGCAGCACAGUAAGAGCUUGCUCUUACGGGUGGCGAGUGGCGGACGGGUGAGGAAUACAUCGGAAUCUACUUUUUCGUGGGGGAUAACGUAGGGAAACUUACGCUAAUACCGCAUACGACCUACGGGUGGAAGCAGGGGAUCUUCGGACCUUGCGCGAUUGAAUGAGCCGAUGUCGGAUUAGCUAGUUGGCGGGGUAAAGGCCCACCAAGGCGACGAUCCGUAGCUGGUCUGAGAGGAUGAUCAGCCACACUGGAACUGAGACACGGUCCAGACUCCUACGGGAGGCAGCAGUGGGGAAUAUUGGACAAUGGGCGCAAGCCUGAUCCAGCCAUACCGCGUGGGUGAAGAAGGCCUUCGGGUUGUAAAGCCCUUUAGUUGGGAAAGAAAAGCAGCAGGUUAAUACCCCGCUGUUCUGACGGUACCCAAAGAAUAAGCACCGGCUAACUUCGUG